Long non-coding RNA from Branchiostoma belcheri (Belcher's lancelet), 619 nucleotides. RefSeq lists it as uncharacterized. The transcript is spliced from 3 exons. The record is from RefSeq and is a predicted model, not a curated record. NCBI's taxonomy places the organism in Eukaryota, Metazoa, Chordata, Leptocardii, Amphioxiformes, Branchiostomatidae.
UUGACAGGACGAUCCUGUCAAUAGCCUCAGGCUAACGCGAAAUGGGUAAAGAGCACAUGUGCCGCAAAACGAUGGUGUACGUGCGCACAAGAGUCCGCGCGCCACAGUUCAAAGAAGCAAGAUGGUGGGCUCACCACCCUUGGUCGCUAAGUAUGUGAGCGUUAGGUCGUAAAAGCGUGUGGAAACGUUGUUGUUGACUGGUACGUGCUCGAUGUAGGCCAGGGAGAGCUAACUUUCGCGUAACUGUACGACAGACUUGUAGCGGCGAGUGAGUUUCGACCAUACAAUUUCAAGCAAGUUUUGUCAAGAUCAGCUACACAGUGCAAUUCUUCUGCAAAAUUAUGACGAGAAGGUCGGAAGGCAUUUGAUGUGGUGUUUCAUCCGUAUGGUGAUCGACAAGACAGCUUCUACGACUGAAGCUGUUCCCAGGGCUAAGACUGCUUUUGAGGUAUGAUGAAAGCAUCAAGAGAACAAGGUCAGCAGGAGUGGAUGUUUCCAGCCUACGCUGGGACUGGGAGCACACAACAAUGUAGCAAUAACAACACAGGGCAGUGACAUGCACUUCACCAGUAGCACAGUACUACUAUUCAGCCAGACUGAAGUCAGGGGUGAUGAAGAC